CCUACGGGUGGCUGCAGUGGGGAAUAUUGCACAAUGGGCGCAAGCCUGAUGCAGCCAUGCCGCGUGUGUGAAGAAGGCCUUCGGGUUGUAAAGCACUUUCAGCGGGGAGGAAGGCGGUGAGGUUAAUAACCUCAUCGAUUGACGUUACCCGCAGAAGAAGCACCGGCUAACUCCGUGCCAGCAGCCGCGGUAAUACGGAGGGUGCAAGCGUUAAUCGGAAUUACUGGGCGUAAAGCGCACGCAGGCGGUCUGUCAAGUCGGAUGUGAAAUCCCCGGGCUCAACCUGGGAACUGCAUGCGAAACUGGCAGGCUAGAGUCUUGUAGAGGGGGGUAGAAUUCCAGGUGUAGCGGUGAAAUGCGUAGAGAUCUGGAGGAAUACCGGUGGCGAAGGCGGCCCCCUGGACAAAGGCUGACGCUCAGGUGCGAAAGCGUGGGGAGCAAACAGGAUUAGAUGCCCGGUAGUC
Molecule: ribosomal RNA, 464 nt
Filed under: uncultured Klebsiella sp.
Lineage: Bacteria; Pseudomonadati; Pseudomonadota; Gammaproteobacteria; Enterobacterales; Enterobacteriaceae
Description: bacterial SSU rRNA
Rfam family: Bacterial small subunit ribosomal RNA
Source: RNAcentral